This 58-nucleotide transfer RNA is filed under the name Cricetulus griseus (Chinese hamster). It matches the Rfam family "tRNA", at positions 8 to 63 of the family's 71-position model. From Rfam's summary of the family: Transfer RNA (tRNA) molecules are approximately 80 nucleotides in length. Their secondary structure includes four short double-helical elements and three loops (D, anti-codon, and T loops). Further hydrogen bonds mediate the characteristic L-shaped molecular structure. tRNAs have two regions of fundamental functional importance: the anti-codon, which is responsible for specific mRNA codon recognition, and the 3' end, to which the tRNAs corresponding amino acid is attached (by aminoacyl-tRNA synthetases). tRNAs cope with the degeneracy of the genetic code in two manners: having more than one tRNA (with a specific anti-codon) for a particular amino acid; and 'wobble' base-pairing, i.e. permitting non-standard base-pairing at the 3rd anti-codon position. Lineage: Eukaryota; Metazoa; Chordata; Mammalia; Rodentia; Cricetidae. The record is from Rfam by way of RNAcentral.
UGGCUCAGUGGUUAAGAGCACUGGCUUCUUGUUCCAAAGACCUGGGUUUGAUUCCCAG